GUUAUCACUUGUCAGGAUGUGGCCAGCUUAUGAUGUUAUGGAACUUGGAGAGAAUGACUUGAACAAGUUCUUCAAGCAUUAAGGCUACAGACAUUUCAGGUCUCCUUCAACUGUUGAUGUUCGUUAUGUCUAGAUUUACUUUAAUACCUGGCAUGUCUAUUGUUUUCUCAGUUAUGCAAAUACACCACCACUCUCAGCAGACAAGCAGACAGCUGCUCCAGCCGUGAGCGCCAUGAAUGUUCAACCCUCUUCCUCCCUGAGAUGGACACCUCCAGCGUCCGCCCACUGAGGUCGUCACCUUUAACCCUGAGGGGCUGAGGUGAAGAUGCAUAUGUGUUCCAGUGUUGCAUCUGUCUUCAUUUUAUUAACUGUCUGGAACAUGCUUAAGCCCCCGGAUCACUGCCACCCAACACCCCCCCCCCCCCCCCCCCCCCACACACACACACACACACACUAUAUUUCAUGAGAAUCUUUAUAGUAAUACAUGAUUUUUAUUUAUUUUUUAUUUUUAGACUUGAUUGUUUUGUUGGCCUUUGAGAUCUGGCCCCGCUAAACAACCACUGUUUUCCAGUCGCACUUUAAACAGACCUUGUGGUUACCAGAUGGAUAAUGAAUAAGAUUAAAACGAGUUGAUUAUGUUGGUUUAGUAUAUUGAAUGUAGUAUAAUGAGGAAAUAAGAAAUACAUAUUUAAAGAGACAGAUGUAAAGUAAGUGCUGUAGGACUACCAUACAAGGUCGGAGACAAGAAGAAGAAGAAGAAGAAGAAGAAGGAAAGAGAGAGAGAGCUGAUCAGUGGUUUGGCUGAACUCACCAUGAACCAUGAAAAAUUUAUUUUCUCCAGAGUCUUUCUUUCUCCCAGAGGGAGCCAGAUUUACAUUUCCAUAUCUCUAUCUCUCUCUCUCUCUCUCUCUCUCAGCAUUGGUGUAGACAUGAAGGAUGCAGACAGGAACUCUGUGAUUCGAAGAGGUUGAGGGCUUGUUUUUGAGGCCCACCACUGAACUAUGUGUCCACAGUAUAGUCCACAUAUAUCUUUAGUAAAAACUCUCCUGCAGCUGAGGACCUGCUUCAUGUUCUAAAACCAACCCGUCAGACAUCCCUGGCUUAGUCGACCUGAUUAACUACAGUCUAGUGUGCAGACCCGGGUCACGAAUUAUCUCAAAGUAUCACCUUAUAUUAGAGUAUGUCUGAGGCAAAGACUGCAGCAAUGAUGUAUGUGUGGUUAGCAGGGGGUGAGAGAGAGAGAGAGAGAGUUGUGUGCUCUAGUGUCUGAGUGAUAGAUGUUAAUGGAUGGAUGCUGAGAGACCACCACACCACAUUCAUAAAUAUGUUGAAGAGGUUGAAUAAAUAUGCAGGCACAUGAUAUGGCUGGGUGAUGGGGAAUGUGUGCAUGCUUUUGUGUGGAUGUUUGUACGCGUCUAAGAUUAAACUCUAUGUGAACUCUAUAUGCUAAGUGUAGGGUCAAACUCAAGCUGACUUUAUAGUGUGUGUCUGUGUGUGUGUGUGUGUGUGUGUGUGUGUGUGUGUGUGUGAGAGAGAGAGAGAGAGAGAGAGAGAGAGAGCAUUACAUCUUUAGACUUCAGUCAUUGUGUACGUGAAUGCAUGCCACAUACAGUAUGUCUUACACAUCUCUUCAAACUAGAUUCUUUGAAAUA
Long non-coding RNA from Neoarius graeffei (lesser salmon catfish), 1652 nucleotides. RefSeq lists it as uncharacterized. The record is from RefSeq and is a predicted model, not a curated record. NCBI's taxonomy places the organism in Eukaryota, Metazoa, Chordata, Actinopteri, Siluriformes, Ariidae. The transcript is spliced from 3 exons.